This 430-nucleotide ribosomal RNA is filed under the name Pseudomonadota bacterium. RNAcentral's name for it is "Proteobacteria bacterium partial 16S ribosomal RNA". It matches the Rfam family "Bacterial small subunit ribosomal RNA", at positions 355 to 776 of the family's 1533-position model. Lineage: Bacteria; Pseudomonadati; Pseudomonadota. The record is from RNAcentral.
UGGGGAAUAUUGGACAAUGGGGGGAACCCUGAUCCAGCCAUGGCGCGUGUGUGAAGAAGGCCUUAUGGUUGUAAAGCACUUUAAGCGAGGAGGAGGGUACUGGUAUUAAUACUACCAGCUACUGGACGUUACUCGCAGAAUAAGCACCGGCUAACUCUGUGCCAGCAGCCGCGGUAAUACAGAGGGUGCGAGCGUUAAUCGGAUUUACUGGGCGUAAAGCGUGCGUAGGCGGCUAAUUGAGUCGGAUGUGAAAUCCCCGAGCUUAACUUGGGAAUUGCAUUCGAUACUGGUUAGCUAGAGUGUGGGAGAGGAUGGUAGAAUUCCAGGUGUAGCGGUGAAAUGCGUAGAGAUCUGGAGGAAUACCGAUGGCGAAGGCAGCCAUCUGGCCUAACACUGACGCUGAGGUACGAAAGCAUGGGGAGCAAACAGG